Molecule: long non-coding RNA, 4202 nt
Organism: Canis lupus familiaris (dog)
Lineage: Eukaryota; Metazoa; Chordata; Mammalia; Carnivora; Canidae
Exons: 9
Source: RefSeq, a predicted model, not a curated record
CCCACUGGCACAAGCCUGGGAUCCCAGGCUCGUGGUGGAGGAAGGACCUCACUUGCCAACGGUCCGUCAGAACCUUCCACAGCAACACCGAGCUAGGAAAACAAAACCGGGCAAAGAGAGAGAAGGCCGGGAGAAGGACAAAAUAAGGCAGAGGUGCCUCUGAAACUCUGUCUUCAAGACAAACCAAAAGAAGACAAGGAAACAAGUUCUUGGGUUUUUAAGAAGGUGCGGUAAGCCAAGGGGAUUAAUUGGACGACCCGCAUCUGCUUCUCAAGCUCCAUUUCCUACUACCUCAUUCACCUGGGCGGGCCCAUGACUUCAGCUGGUAUCUGCUCCACAAGUUUCUCCCCAAAGUCUGAGUAAUGAAAGAGGACCCCCAAAUCCUAGUCUGGGAUACUGGAAAGAGUAUGAAUUCUCAAAACGAACAAUGACACAGAUGUGAAAAUAAGCAGACAAGAUUGAAAUCUGCAGCAGCGUUAUUCCCAACAGCCAGAAGAUGAAAACCCUGGGUGUGGACAGGUGAAGUGCCCUGUGGAAAGCCACAGAGGGAGUGAUGAGCGGUGCCCGGACUUGAAGCCACGACAGCAUAGCACCUGGGCAAGAAAUUUAAUCCACACUUACUAAACAACUGGGCCUCCGGAACGAGUUGCCAUUUACCUACAGGACAGCGAGGCGCUCACCAGGACUGCCUCGUGAAGGCCCCUCCUGCUCCUGGCAGCCCUGGGAAUGGGAAGCCUGGUAAAGGCAGAGGCUGGAAUGUCUAAUCCGGUGUCAGACUGAGGAGGGGCCUCCAAGACUCCAGGGUCCCUUCCCUCCCCCUGCCUCCAGCCAACACUCGCCACCCCUGAUUGGGAUGGCAGCUCGGCGGCCCUUCAGCCUCUAUUGGAAUAUUCUCCAAGGACUCACCACCCACAGGCACCCCCUCCUUCUAUCACUAUGCUGUGGCUUCUGAUGAAACACUAGGUCUGGAAAAUGAAAUCUCAUCUCACUCUCUGGAAAUCCUGGAAACUUCUGGAAACCUGCCCAGGUCUUCAUCCUUAAGAAUUCUUAAGUAUAAUGCACAGGAGGAGAAUGCCAAGGAGUGGAGCUGUACACAGGAAGGAGAGAGCAGUACGGGUCACGGCAGUAUGGCGGAGCCACAGUUGCAGCAGAUGCAAGGGCCAGUCGCAGGCAGCAAGAGACCAGAAGCGGAGAGAGGUGGAGGGCCAUAAAGGGAUGCUGAAAGGCCAAAUGAGGUAACAGAAGGGCGAGUUGUUUGAAAGACCAGCAACUGCAGACAAGUGGAAGGAAGCAUGACAUUUGUGAUCACUCACUGGCCACCAGUCAGUAGGGAGUGCUGGUCCACCCAUGCGGGCAUCACGCUCUGUGAAUCUCCUUCCCACCUGUCCUUCCUCCUGCCCUCUCUGGGGCUCCUGUCCAGUCCACCCCACCCUGGCACGUGCAAGUUCUUCUGCAGCUGCCUUUUUUGGAUAGUAACCCCUGCUCUACUUCAUCAGGGCAAGAUCCCAAACCUCAUUUCUCAUGGCAUCCCUUUUGCAGAAGCUGACCUUUCCCCAGAAAAGUCUCACUUCCCUGGGGUCAUCACCAUCACUCCAAGAGCCAGCAACUUCUCCCAGUCGCAGUGGAUUCAAAGGGCACAGUUGGAGACAUCCCCCUUCAGGGAACAGAGGAUCUCAUCCACUGCUGACUGAGGAAGGGCCAGCAGCGAGUUGGCUCUAAUGCCACCUGCUCAGCCUCUCUCCCCACCCCUUGGCUGAUUCCCUAUAACGGUGUGUCCAGAUGCCCAUCCCUGUCUCUAAGCUCCUAUUCCUACUCACCCUCCCUUUCGGUAAUAACAAAGUUCUUUCCUGUCCUGGAGAAGGCUGCUGGAAUCCAAAAGAUCUCGCUCUGUGCUUGGAGUCAGACCUGGGCUCACCACUUACAGGUGUGUGGUCUGAGGAAAUUAGUUAAGUGUGGAGCAGGUGUAAAGUAUUGGGCUGGGAGCCCCGAAAGGAUCACCAAACAUCGCUUUUCAGAGCCCCUCUUGGCCCCUCUUCCCUUCUCUUAAUCUCUAAGUCCUUGUCUGCAUAAUGAGGACAGCAAGAUCUACCCAAUAAUGAGCCUCAUAUCAUAAUUCAGAUGCAAAACAAGAAGGUCAACAUGAAAGCACUUUGUAAACCUUAUGCCUUGCUAACCAAAAUGUGGUCCGGCAGCAGCAGCUUCCCCUGGGAGCGUGCUGGAAAUACAGACCGUCAGGCCCCAGCCAGCCCUACUGAGUCAGAACUCGUAGUAUAAUAAGAUCCCCAGGGGAUUCAUCUGCACAUUAGAGUCUGAGAAAUGUGAAGAAAAGAACUAGGAAAAUACAUGACAUUACAUAUUAUUAUUAUUUUCAAUUUCUCCAUCAGCCCUCUCUUCUUCUCCACCUCCACCAAAAAUACUGCCCCCUCCCCUAAGCCCAAAGUGGUUAUUCUUAAACAGCUGGCACAUUAGAAUCUCCCAGACCCACCUGGGUUGAACCCCAGGCCAGUUGGAGAAAGGUCCAAAUCAGUAUUUUUUUUUUUAAGAUUUAUUUAUUUAUUUAUGAUAGACAUAGAGAGGCAGAGACACAGGAGGAGUGAGAAGCAGGCUCCAUGCAGGGAGCCCGACGUGGGACUCGAUCCCGGGACUCCAGGAUUCCUCCCUGGGCCAAAGGCAGGCACUAAACCACUGAGCCACCCAGGGAUCCCCAAAUCAGUAUAUUUUUAAAUUCCCCAGGUGACUGAUGCAGGACUGGGGGUGAAACUCCCACAAGCCACCCACACUGCUGUUCCAUGGCCUCCACUGUGUCAUCUCCUGGGGAGCUUUGCUGCCAUUCUGUUUGCCUGACCUCUUCUCCUCAGAACUGUACCUCUCUGCCCCUCCACCCACUGCCCAGGCCCCACCUCACCCCCUGAGCUCCCCUUGCCAUGCCCAGUGCCUUGCUUGCUUUUCCCUUUGGCUCCAUCACCGUGCCCUGUAGCUUUCACUUCACCAGAGUUUAAAAUACUCACUGACGUGGAUGUUUAACCUUACACGUGGACAAAGCCCCCCAGCAGGAUGCAAAGUCUGCCCUUGAUCCGAUCCUCCUUCCACCUAUCACUCCACCCUGCUCUCUUUACUAGCCAAUUCCACAAACUCAAGGUCUCCACCUGCAGCCUCCAUCUUCCUCAAAAGUGUGACACCCCACUCCAAGUCAGAAAGCCUCUCUGCCACCUUGCCACCUCCCUGAGGCAGUCUCGCAGGGCAGCCUAUAGGCUACACUGAAGAACUCUGGCAAGAAAUGGUUUGUUGUUAAGAGUUCAUUGCUAUUGGGUAAACAAGGGAGGAUUCUUCAAGGGACUUCCAGUAUCCAUGAAACAAUAGAUCAAAGAGGAGCCCAAAUAUGCCAAGGGAGGCCAAAAAAAGAAGAAAGGGUUGGUUGUGUCCCACCUGGGAAACACCUGCCCUAGGAGUAGGGAUCUGAAGGGACCUUUCUCUUUCCAUAGCAAAGGAGCUAGAAGGGGACCCUGUCUGGACCUGAAGCACAAGCCAGACAGAGAAAAGCAUACUUUCUUUUCUAGGGAACAUGGAGUAAAGCCCAUGGACUGGCCUCUGGAGCUGAACAAAGGAGUUAGGAACUCGUUGCUCUCAGACUCAUUGCCGAGUCCAGACAAAGCUGUACGGACAAUCGCCGCCCUGUGUUGUACCCUCACACACACAUACCUGCAGCCUGCAGGUGGUGUUGAAUUCGAGAAGCCAGACUUGAAAAUAAACCAUUGUCCACUCCUCGUAAGCCCUUCAAUUAUUCACUCAUCAAAUCUGUGAUCAAUGCCUUCUCUGUGCUCAUUGAGAGAAACACACACAGUCACAACACAGCCCCUGAUCUGAGGACCCAAAAUCUUAAGAGGAAGAGCAAAACAAACAGAUUACAAAGUGAUGCCAGUGAUUUAAAAAAUAAAAUAAAAUAAGUAACCAGUGUUGUGAGACACCGGGGAGGGACCCAUCUGUGGGGUCAGGAGAUAAGGCAAGGUUUAUGGUCCUGAGGCCACCAAAGGCUCCAGGAUGAAAGCAGGGACUCCCGCCUUAGGAAAUGUGAUCUUUUUCACCUCUUUUUCGCCUUCCACGCACAGUUCACUUCCCUGAAGUUGGGAAAUGAAAGGCUACCAUUUUUUAAAUGUUUUACUUAAAUUAGUUAACAUAUACUAUAUUAUUAGUUUCAGGGGUGG